UCCGUAGGUGGUUUGUCAAGUCUGUCGUCAAAGAAUGGAGCUUAACUCCAUAAAGGCGGUGGAAACUGAGAGACUAGAGUUCGGUAGGGGUAGCGGGAAUUCCCAGUGUGGCGGUGAAAUGCGUAGAUAUUGGGAAGAACAUCGGUGGCGAAAGCGCGCUACUGGGCCGAAACUGACACUGAGGGACGAAAGCUAGGGUAGCGAAAG
This 207-nucleotide ribosomal RNA is filed under the name uncultured bacterium. RNAcentral's name for it is "partial 16S ribosomal RNA". It matches the Rfam family "Bacterial small subunit ribosomal RNA", at positions 568 to 774 of the family's 1533-position model. The record is from RNAcentral.